This 217-nucleotide ribosomal RNA is filed under the name Clostridioides difficile. RNAcentral's name for it is "partial 16S ribosomal RNA". It matches the Rfam family "Bacterial small subunit ribosomal RNA", at positions 315 to 549 of the family's 1533-position model. The record is from RNAcentral. Lineage: Bacteria; Bacillati; Bacillota; Clostridia; Peptostreptococcales; Peptostreptococcaceae.
GGAACUGAGACACGGUCCAAACUCCUACGGGAGGCAGCAGUGGGGCAUAUUGCACAAUGGGCGAAAGCCUGAUGCAGCAACGCCGCGUGAGUGAUGAAGGCCUUCGGGUCGUAAAACUCUGUCCUCAAGGAAGAUAAUGACGGUACUUGAGGAGGAAGCCCCGGCUAACUACGUGCCAGCAGCCGCGGUAAUACGUAGGGGGCUAGCGUUAUCCGGA